UACGGAGGGUGCAAGCGUUAUCCGGAUUCACUGGGUUUAAAGGGUGCGUAGGAGGGCAGGUAAGUCAGUGGUGAAAUCUCCGGGCUUAACCCGGAAACUGCCAUUGAUACUAUCUGUCUUGAAUACCGUGGAGGUGAGCGGAAUAUGUCAUGUAGCGGUGAAAUGCUUAGAUAUGACAUAGAACACCAAUUGCGAAGGCAGCUCACUACACGAAUAUUGACACUGAGGCACGAAAGCGUGGGGAUCAAACAGG
Molecule: ribosomal RNA, 253 nt
Filed under: uncultured bacterium
Lineage: Bacteria
Description: partial 16S ribosomal RNA
Rfam family: Bacterial small subunit ribosomal RNA
Source: RNAcentral